UGAGCUGGAAUUCGGUAGUUGAAUAUUUCUUUUACGCAGAAAAUGUCGUUUGUGCAAUUCAAGCUAGCUUAA
RNAcentral lists this transfer RNA (72 nucleotides) under Rhabdopleura sp. NHMO H2137. RNAcentral describes it as "tRNA-Val". Lineage: Eukaryota; Metazoa; Hemichordata; Pterobranchia; Rhabdopleurida; Rhabdopleuridae. The record is from RNAcentral.